Molecule: ribosomal RNA, 377 nt
Filed under: uncultured eukaryote
Lineage: Eukaryota
Description: partial 18S ribosomal RNA
Rfam family: Eukaryotic small subunit ribosomal RNA
Source: RNAcentral
CAAUAGCGUAUAUUUAAGUUGUUGCAGUUAAAAAGCUCGUAGUUGGAUUUCGGGUGGGACGCAGCGGUCUCGCAUUGCGUUUGUACUGCUGCAGCCAUCCUUCUUGCCGGGGGCGGCCUCUCGGACUUCACUGUCUGGGGGUCAGAAUCGGCGAUGUUACUUUGAGUAAAUUAGAGUGUUCAAAGCAAGCUUACGCUCUGAAUAUAAUAGCAUGGGAUAACACGACAGGACUCUGGCCUAUCGUGUUGGUCUAUAGGACCAGAGUAAUGAUUAAGAGGGACAGUCGGGGGCAUUCGUAUUCCGUUGUCAGAGGUGAAAUUCUUGGAUUUACGGAAGACGAACAUCUGCGAAAGCAUUUGCCAAGGAUGUUUNCAUUG